RNAcentral lists this ribosomal RNA (497 nucleotides) under uncultured bacterium. Its description in RNAcentral is "partial 16S ribosomal RNA". It matches the Rfam family "Bacterial small subunit ribosomal RNA", at positions 28 to 507 of the family's 1533-position model. The record is from RNAcentral.
GAUGAACGCUGGCGGCGUGCCUAAUACAUGCAAGUCGAGCGAACAGACGAGGAGCUUGCUCCUCUGACGUUAUCGGCGGACGGGUGAGUAACACGUGGAUAACCUACCUAUAAGACUGGGAUCACUUCGGGAAACCGGAUCUAAUACCGGAAAAUAUAUUGAACCGUAUGGUUCAAUAGUGAAAGACGGUUUUGCUGCUACUAAUAGAUGGUUCCGCGCCGCAUUAGCUAGUUGGUAAGGUAACGGCUUACCAAGGCAACGAUGCGUAGCCGACCUGAGAGGGUGAUCGGCCACACUGGAACUGAGACACGGUCCAGACUCCUACGGGAGGCAGCAGUAGGGAAUCUUCCGCAAUGGGCGAAAGCCUGACGGAGCAACGCCGCGUGAGUGAUGAAGGUCUUCGGAUCGUAAAACUCUGUUAUUAGGGAAGAACAAAUGUGUAAGUAACUAUGCACGUCUUGACGGUACCUAAUCAGAAAGCCACGGCUAACUACGUG